UACGUAGGGUGCAGGCGUUAAUCGGAAUUACUGGGCGUAAAGCGUGUGUAGGCGGUCCACUAAGUCGGGUGUGAAAGCCCUGGGCUCAACCCAGGAAGUGCACUCGAAACUGGCGGGCUUGAGUAUCGGAGAGGUUGGUGGAAUUCUCGGUGUAGAGGUGAAAUUCGUAGAUAUCGAGAGGAACACCGGUGGCGAAGGCGGCCAACUGGACGAAUACUGACGCUGAGACACGAAAGCGUGGGGAGCAAACAGG
Molecule: ribosomal RNA, 253 nt
Filed under: uncultured bacterium
Lineage: Bacteria
Description: partial 16S ribosomal RNA
Rfam family: Bacterial small subunit ribosomal RNA
Source: RNAcentral